AGGCUCGUAGCACAAUUGGCAGUGCGUCGGUCUCCAAAACCGAAGGUUGGGGGUUCGAGUCCCUCCGGGCCUG
RNAcentral lists this transfer RNA (73 nucleotides) under Calditrichota bacterium. Its description in RNAcentral is "Calditrichaeota bacterium (activated sludge metagenome) tRNA-Trp". It matches the Rfam family "tRNA". Rfam says of the family: Transfer RNA (tRNA) molecules are approximately 80 nucleotides in length. The record is from RNAcentral. Lineage: Bacteria; Pseudomonadati; Calditrichota. RNAcentral also lists the same sequence under 1 other name.